AUUGCGUGCAAAGAGGUAACAUUGCUUGGUGCGCCACAACAGCUGCAGCAAACAGAGAGAUAACAAGAUGUACAGGGUUAUGGCAGUCGCAUGCGUUGCACAUUUUUAAAUUAUAGAUCAUGCAGAAUAAAACAAUAUAACAAGCAUAGUGCUGUUAAGUAAGACUUUUAUAGCUAUUCUAUGCACUAAUUAAACAGUGGUUGUAUAACUAUUUAGUUAUAGGCUUAUGCAAAAUAACAUCAGAUACAGGUUUCUCUAGUUAAUUAAAGUUAACCACCAGGGGGCAGUGAGUUGCUGGGUCAGUCGGCUAACAUAUACAUGUG
Pelobates cultripes (western spadefoot toad) is the source of this 323-nucleotide non-coding RNA. NCBI's taxonomy places the organism in Eukaryota, Metazoa, Chordata, Amphibia, Anura, Pelobatidae. The record is from the annotation of a GenBank genome assembly.